UGGUAGUGUAUUGGACUACCAUGGCUUUAACGGGUAACGGAGGAUUAGGGUUCGAUUCCGGAGAGGGAGCCUGAGAAACGGCUACCACAUCUAAGGAAGGCAGCAGGCGCGUAAAUUACCCAAUCCUGACUCAGGGAGGUAGUGACAAGAAAUAACGGACCGAAGCCUAUGUUUCGGGAUUGCAAUGAGUAGAAUUUAAACCCCUUUACGAGGAUCAAUUGGAGGGCAAGUCUGGUGCCAGCAGCCGCGGUAAUUCCAGCUCCAAUAGCGUAUAUUAAAGUUGUUGCAGUUAAAAAGCUCGUAGUUGGAUUUCUGGGAGGGUGCCAAUGUCCGCUCGAUUGCGUGUGCAGCGGCGCCCUUCCAUCCUUCUGUUAACGUUUCUUGGUAUUCAGUUACUGGUUUCGGGCUCAGAUAUUUUACCUUGAGAAAAUUAGAGUGUUCCAGGCAGGCUUGCGCCGGAAUACAUUAGCAUGGAAUAAUAGAAUAGGACUUUAGUCUCCUUUGUUGGUUUGAGGGACUGAAGUAAUGAUUAAUAGGGAUAGUUGGGGGCAUUAGUAUUUAAUUGUCAGAGGUGAAAUUCUCGGAUUUGUUAAAGACUAACUUAUGCGAAAGCAUUUGCCAAGGAUGUUUUCAUUAAUCAAGAACGAAAGUUAGGGGAUCAAAGACGAUCAGA
RNAcentral lists this ribosomal RNA (673 nucleotides) under uncultured ciliate. Its description in RNAcentral is "SSU rRNA". It matches the Rfam family "Eukaryotic small subunit ribosomal RNA", at positions 326 to 1012 of the family's 1831-position model. The record is from RNAcentral. Lineage: Eukaryota; Ciliophora.